GAGAUCCUACGGGACGCAGCAGUAGGGAAUUUUCAUCAAUGGGCGCAAGCCUGAACGAGCAAUGCCGCGUGAACGAGGAAGGUCUUCGGAUCGUAAAGUUCUGUUGAAGGGGAAAAAGAGCGGAGAGAGGAAAUGAACUCCGAUUGAUAUUACCCUUCGAGGAAGUCACGGCUAACUACGUGCCAGCAGCCGCGGUAAUACGUAGGUGGCGAGCGUUAUCCGGAAUGAUUGGGCGUAAAGGGUGCGUAGGCGGCCUGCUAAGUCUGGAGUGAAAGGUACCGGCUCAACCGGUACGGGCUCUGGAA
This 305-nucleotide ribosomal RNA is filed under the name uncultured bacterium. RNAcentral describes it as "bacterial SSU rRNA". It matches the Rfam family "Bacterial small subunit ribosomal RNA", at positions 333 to 631 of the family's 1533-position model. The record is from RNAcentral.